RNAcentral lists this long non-coding RNA (1074 nucleotides) under Anser brachyrhynchus (Pink-footed goose). RNAcentral describes it as "lncRNA (ENSABRG00000017429.1)". Lineage: Eukaryota; Metazoa; Chordata; Aves; Anseriformes; Anatidae. The record is from RNAcentral.
GUGAAUGAAUGAAUUCAUGAUGAUUCAAGGUUAUUUUAAUGAUAAUGGCAAUGCACUCACAAAGGAAAAAGGAAAAGGCUAGUAGUACUGGCACUAGUGCUUCUUCACCACAGCCGACUUCCUUUUUGACAGACUGACUGUGGAGUGAAUUCCUGUUUAUGGUCAAAGGCUGAAAGCUGUUGUGUGUCUGCAGCAGUGCUGCUGCUACUGAUCUGUGAACAUGACAUGCCUGAUAAUAUUGCAUUGCCAUGGCAACAACAAACAUGGGGCAAAAUUCUAUUAGCUGGAGUGACUCAGUGAGUCAAACAGAUAAUGUGAUGGGCCUGGCCAACUGCCCAACAAAGGUGAUUUAUUUGGAAAGACAAGAGCAUUGUUUCUCCAAGGAAGGAUCCCAGUCCCCUCCAGAAUAUUUGACAGUAUAUGAGAGGUAUUCCCUAGCUACAUCCCUAGAACCACUCAACCUGUCUUUUACGGUUUAAAGGGAGCACACGAAUCUUGCUGUGGCUACUGUCACAGGGAGGACUGCAUCCUCCACCAACACCUAGGAAGGGUUUCAGAAGUCCUCUACUUCGCUCAAGCCUGUGUCUGAGUGGAAAGCACCGUAGCUUUUGUUUCUGAUCUCUGAUUGGAUGAGAGACCUUUUGAAAACAGAGAAAGAUGAAUGAUGAGUAUUGAAUAGCCUCUGGCAAGCAAUGAAUGAUACACUUCUGGUCAAUUUGCUUAUGAGAAUGGCAGAGAAAUCUUGAGGUUUGUAAACUUUUUCAUGAAUUAACUUUCUGUUGCCUGGAUACUAAUGUAAAAUGUCUAGUAUGAAAUGGUAAGUAAAGCAGAAUCAUUUCAUGCAUUUGCAAGUGUAUUUAUAAGUUAUUUUUAAUUAUUAUUGUCUGUUCUGCUCUGUUGCAGAUCCAUUGCUAUUUCCUGUGUAUUAAACAAUGACAACUAUGCACUAUUGUUAGAUUAAAGACAUGAAAGCAGAUUUUUUCAUUAAGGCUCAUAAGCUAGAGGUUAGAUCAGGCACCAACAGUGAAAACCUGAAUGCAUUGUAAUGAAGAAUAAAACAUCCUUUUACCUCCA